AUAUGGGAGUUUUCUCCUGCUCUUAAAAGUUUUUAAAUUAUAUAAAUCAUUGUACUUCAAUGACAGAAGGUGAACAAACAGAGCUUACAUCAAGUGAAGACUUUAACGUUUCUGACAUGUUGAUAACUUCAUUUAAGUCACACUACCAAUACUUAGAGGCCUCCCUCCCUCCAGGCUCCUUGGUGGAAGAGAGGAACAGCAGGAGGCAACCAGAACUAUCAAGCAUCACAGACUGCAUGCAGCUUCUCAUCCUUUUUCAGAGCACAGUAUCAACAUUUAUUUUUGUACAAGUUUCAACUGGCUGCUGAGAACAGGGAAAUAGCUGUAUAACCCAGGAGUUUUACUCACCACAGAACUCAGUCCCUAGAACUGCAGGACACUUCAUAUGCCAGGUCCAUCUUGCAGAAGUAGAUUAGGCAGACUCAGCCGCUCGUUUCCGCCUGCUCUAAACAGACACGUUAGUUCUCCGCAACAGAAAUAAACUACCUUUUUCUCUUCUGUUCUCUUUGGAUCUCUGUGAUUGCUGAAGUUGAGCUGAUUUUAGUGACAGAGGGAAGAAAAAGCCACCCCCUGCUCUGCUUUGCAAACUGCCAUUCAUUUCAG
This 603-nucleotide long non-coding RNA is filed under the name Equus caballus (horse). Its description in RNAcentral is "lncRNA (ENSECAG00000050775.1)". The record is from RNAcentral. Lineage: Eukaryota; Metazoa; Chordata; Mammalia; Perissodactyla; Equidae.